RNAcentral lists this ribosomal RNA (207 nucleotides) under uncultured bacterium. RNAcentral's name for it is "partial 16S ribosomal RNA". It matches the Rfam family "Bacterial small subunit ribosomal RNA", at positions 568 to 774 of the family's 1533-position model. The record is from RNAcentral.
CAUGUAGGCGGAAUUGUAAGUCAGAGGUGAAAUACUGGAGCUUAACUCCGGGCCCGCCUUUGAAACUGCAGUUCUUGAGUAUGGUAGAGGGAAGCGGAAUUCCAGGUGUAGCGGUGGAAUGCGUAGAUAUCUGGAAGAACACCGGUGGCGAAGGCGGCUUCCUGGCCCAUUACUGACGCUGAGAUGCGAAAGCGUGGGGAGCAAACA